UAUGGAUCCUACAGAAGCCUGUUAUCC
RNAcentral lists this non-coding RNA (27 nucleotides) under Rattus norvegicus (Norway rat). Lineage: Eukaryota; Metazoa; Chordata; Mammalia; Rodentia; Muridae. The record is from RNAcentral.